CCCUCAGGUUGCAGUCUUCCCCUUGCCAGCUUGUUUUGGUGCCUUCCAGGUUUAUUGGUCUACCCAUUACUCUAUUUAGUCUACUUCUAUGUGCCCAUUUGACCUCUGCCCUCUGUGCCUUAGCUCCCUUUGUUAUUGUUGCUUGUUUGGACUGAUCUCCUGCUGCCAACCUUCUGCAUUCCCAUUGAUCAAGUUAAGACUGUUAAGACCAUCCACACGUGCCUGUGUGUCUGCAGUUGGGUUCAAACUACUACUCUGCUGCAAACAAAAAUGAGCCAGAUAAUGACAUGGAGCCCUCAGAGAUGAUUCCAGAAUACCUUCUUGACUUGUUGCACAGCGUGACUGGAAGAAUGAACAACUGGCAGGGAGCUAAAACUCCCAGAGGACCCAAGAUGUCAGCCAGAUAGAACCAAGAUGGAGUAAGCCAUUGUUCUUCACAACAGGCUCCAAUUCAUCAAGUCCCGAAGCUCUGAUUGCCCUCUGGGCCAUUAGGCGGUGGAAAACAGGACCAGUACCACGGAGAGGGCCAGAAGUCAACCAUGGUGCAGAGAAAGGAAAUUAUAUCCCCUUUCUUUCUGAAAGCAAGCACAACACAAACACGUGGACUGUUGUUGACAUUCAGCAUGAGAUCAAUUAAGACACAAGGCUUGUCAUUUUGUUGACUUUUUCAUUGUGGCUCUAUAGAUUACAGCACUUUUUGAAGGUGAUCUGGAAAAAGCCGUUUCCAUUUAUUUUCAUCUGUCAAACUGUCAUCUGACAGCAAGGUGAAUAGUUUUCUUUGGUAACCAGUCUUCAGUCAUUAGCUGGUAUAUCAAACAUGUCAUGGAGGAUACAAGAAUGUCAAAUAAUGCCACAGUUGAGAUUUUCAGCCCCACUUAUCUGAAAAUUACAGGAGCUUGUGGCUGGAAAAAAUCUGAUGUAGAAGCAUUUUUUAUGUAAAUGAUCUUCUUGUUGGCGCUACAGAUGGCAGCCAUGGUGAACUGAUGUACUUGUUUGUACUUUAGAGGAAAAAUAAUUAAUAUGAUGAAUUAAUUCUGUGAAAGCCAAUUUAAGACUUCAUUUUUAAAUAGAAUCUCAGGAACAGCUGAAAGAUUUUAUUGCUGCCUUUGCUGUGAAACAAGGAGCAUUUUUUGUGAUAGACUUAGUGUAUGAAAGAAUAGAUAUUUUCUGUCACCUUUCUGUCUGACACUUCUGCCACAUGCUGAUGGAAUGCUGGUUUUCCCUGAGGGAAGACAAAAUGGACCAGCUUCAACCCUCCACUACAACAUUUUUGACUAAGGGACAGUAGACAAUCCAUCAAUGCAGGCUGAGCAAACUAAUCAAAAAGCAGAUCGACAAAAUAAAAAAAACUGUUAAUCCCCUUUUAUAUAAUUAAUUUGGCAUUGUUACAGGUAAACAUACAGUAACAAAAUCAAUUUAAUGCAACAUUGUUAAUCACUUUAGUAAAAUAACCUAAAGGCAACCUGAAAUGUUAAAAUCUUUUACUUCAUUAAAAGCAUCAGUGCAACACUGUAAAAGAGUCAUGCAUCCAAAUCCUUACUUAAGUAGAAGUAUUAUCAGCAAAAUGUACUUAAGGUAUAAAAAUAAUUCAUUAUGCAUUAAAAUGGUCCCUGUGAGCAUUGUGAUAUAUUAUUGUAUAUUACAUUAUUAGAUUGCUGAUACUGAUAUACAGUCCGGUAGUUCAGUCCAGUGGUUCCCAACAGCUGUCGGAUGAAUGUAGUUGAGUAAAAGGUACAAUAUUUCCCUCUGAAAUGUUGUGGAGUAGAAGUAGAAAGUAGCAUAAACUAGAAAUUCUCAAGAAAAGUACAAGUACGUCAAAAUAUUGUACUGAAGUACAGUACUUGAGUAAAUGUACUUAGUUACUUUCCACCACUGAAUAUAAGAAACCAGCAAUGUGACUGACUGAGAAGAUGCGUAAUCACCGGAUCAUCCAAUUUAUACUCGACUUCGUCCAACCUUUUUUGCACACAGCACAAUGCACCUAUGUCAACAAAAGGGGACGGGAGGUGUGUUUGGUCUUUAUGAUCCCUAAAUGUUACUGGUGGUUGCUGCAUUGCAGAGAAAUAAAGAUGGGGUGAUGGGGAGGAAAAAGGGAGAGAAGGAAAGAAGAGCAGAAGGGUGAAUAACGCAGAUGUUGAAAAGUGUGUGUGUGUGUGUGUUCUUGAUGGGAAACUUCUAUAAUGGCUACUGCUAUGGUCUCACAGCGUUAAAUGCAAGGAUGCCUGGAGGUUAUUAUCAUGCAUUGCUAUGACAAUGUAGGGUCCAAACACAACCCAGCAAAUCACUGUAGAAACAAAUUCCAUUAUCACUGCUCGUAUGCAUUCCUAGUUCAAUUUAAGAUAACAGAGGUUUGCGGUGAUUGAUUUUUGAAUGAAUGACUUCCUGGAGACAGAUGUGUAUUUGUGAUUCUGGGUUUUCUCACCACUAAAUGUAUUUGCAGAAUACUUUUUUUCUGGUGUCAACGGGGCAGGACCAGAAAGAGGUGGGUGCAAAUGGAAGAAAUGCCUCUUCCCUUUCCUUCUAUGUUUGCUUAUUUUCUUUUUAUGUCUUUUUAUAGAUUGCUAAGUCAUUAGCAUGACUCAUUCACACCAUCCCACAAACACACAUGCAGUACCACUUUGUGAAGAUCUUCUAUUGACUAAAAUGUCCUUAUCUCACUGAUCCAGCAACCUCCUUCACCUACAAAUGCACACACAGACAUCCACUACUCUAAAUCAAGUGUUUUCAGUCACUUUCUUCCAUGAAGUCAGCUUUCUCUUUGUCAUGGUCAAACAGUGCAUGACACAUACAAGACAAUAGUACACACACUGUAAGCUCAACUCGCUCUAUCUCUGCACCAGACAAAC
Long non-coding RNA from Siniperca chuatsi (mandarin fish), 2846 nucleotides. RefSeq lists it as uncharacterized. The transcript has 3 exons. Lineage: Eukaryota; Metazoa; Chordata; Actinopteri; Centrarchiformes; Sinipercidae. The record is from RefSeq and is a predicted model, not a curated record.